RNAcentral lists this unclassified non-coding RNA (334 nucleotides) under uncultured fungus. RNAcentral describes it as "sequence contains ITS1". The stretch from base 1 to 103 matches the Rfam family "5.8S ribosomal RNA", at positions 50 to 154 of the family's 154-position model. Lineage: Eukaryota; Fungi. The record is from RNAcentral.
GAAGUGCGAUAAGCAAUGCGAAUUGCAGAACCGUGAGUCAUCAGAUUUUUGAACGCAACUGGCGCCGACUGGUUCUCUAGUCGGCAUGCUUGUUUCAGUGUCUCGUUUUCUCCUCACCCAAAUCAUAAUGCGAGAGAUACCCUUCUCUUGUUAAAUAUGAAGGUACUCUGUACUCUGCAAGUGAGAUUGUUAACUCAGUCUCACACUCAAUGCAGCAGUCACAUUUUCAAUGUGAACUCAUUGAGAGUAGAGGCAGUCAGCUUUGGCUGAAAGUACUUAGAAACUUAAACUUUAUCUGUAUCUGAAAUCAAGCAGGACCACCCGCUGAACUUAA